CAGGAUGAACGCUAGCUACAGGCUUAACACAUGCAAGUCGAGGGGCAGCAUGGUCUUAGCUUGCUAAGGCCGAUGGCGACCGGCGCACGGGUGAGUAACACGUAUCCAACCUGCCGUCUACUCUUGGACAGCCUUCUGAAAGGAAGAUUAAUACAAGAUGGCAUCAUGAGUCCGCAUGUUCACAUGAUUAAAGGUAUUCCGGUAGACGAUGGGGAUGCGUUCCAUUAGAUAGUAGGCGGGGUAACGGCCCACCUAGUCUUCGAUGGAUAGGGGUUCUGAGAGGAAGGUCCCCCACAUUGGAACUGAGACACGGUCCAAACUCCUACGGGAGGCAGCAGUGAGGAAUAUUGGUCAAUGGGCGAGAGCCUGAACCAGCCAAGUAGCGUGAAGGAUGACUGCCCUAUGGGUUGUAAACUUCUUUUAUAAAGGAAUAAAGUCGGGUAUGGAUACCCGUUUGCAUGUACUUUAUGAAUAAGGAUCGGCUAACUCCGUGCCAGCAGCCGCGGUAAUACGGAGGAUCCGAGCGUUAUCCGGAUUUAUUGGGUUUAAAGGGAGCGUAGAUGGAUGUUUAAGUCAGUUGUGAAAGUUUGCGGCUCAACCGUAAAAUUGCAGUUGAUACUGGAUAUCUUGAGUGCAGUUGAGGCAGGCGGAAUUCGUGGUGUAGCGGUGAAAUGCUUAGAUAUCACGAAGAACUCCGAUUGCGAAGGCAGCCUGCUAAGCUGCAACUGACAUUGAGGCUCGAAAGUGUGGGUAUCAAACAGGAUUAGAUACCCUGGUAGUCCACACGGUAAACGAUGAAUACUCGCUGUUUGCGAUAUACUGCAAGCGGCCAAGCGAAAGCGUUAAGUAUUCCACCUGGGGAGUACGCCGGCAACGGUGAAACUCAAAGGAAUUGACGGGGGCCCGCACAAGCGGAGGAACAUGUGGUUUAAUUCGAUGAUACGCGAGGAACCUUACCCGGGCUUAAAUUGCAGAUGAAUUACGGUGAAAGCCGUAAGCCGCAAGGCAUCUGUGAAGGUGCUGCAUGGUUGUCGUCAGCUCGUGCCGUGAGGUGUCGGCUUAAGUGCCAUAACGAGCGCAACCCUUGUUGUCAGUUACUAACAGGUUCCGCUGAGGACUCUGACAAGACUGCCAUCGUAAGAUGUGAGGAAGGUGGGGAUGACGUCAAAUCAGCACGGCCCUUACGUCCGGGGCUACACACGUGUUACAAUGGGGGGUACAGAGGGCCGCUACCACGCGAGUGGAUGCCAAUCCCCAAAACCUCUCUCAGUUCGGACUGGAGUCUGCAACCCGACUCCACGAAGCUGGAUUCGCUAGUAAUCGCGCAUCAGCCACGGCGCGGUGAAUACGUUCCCGGGCCUUGUACACACCGCCCGUCAAGCCAUGGGAGCCGGGGGUACAAGAAGUGCGUAACCGCGAGGAGCGCCCUAGGGUAA
RNAcentral lists this ribosomal RNA (1436 nucleotides) under uncultured organism. RNAcentral describes it as "SSU rRNA". It matches the Rfam family "Bacterial small subunit ribosomal RNA". The record is from RNAcentral.